RNAcentral lists this ribosomal RNA (442 nucleotides) under Kocuria rhizophila. RNAcentral's name for it is "bacterial SSU rRNA". It matches the Rfam family "Bacterial small subunit ribosomal RNA", at positions 60 to 511 of the family's 1533-position model. The record is from RNAcentral. Lineage: Bacteria; Bacillati; Actinomycetota; Actinomycetes; Micrococcales; Micrococcaceae.
AGUCGACGCUGAGCUUGGUGCUUGCACUGGGUGGAUGAGUGGCGAACGGGUGAGUAAUACGUGAGUAACCUGCCCUUGACUCUGGGAUAAGCCUGGGAAACUGGGUCUAAUACUGGAUACGACAUGCCACUGCAUGGUGGUGUGUGGAAAGGGUUUUACUGGUUUUGGAUGGGCUCACGGCCUAUCAGCUUGUUGGUGGGGUAAUGGCCUACCAAGGCGACGACGGGUAGCCGGCCUGAGAGGGUGACCGGCCACACUGGGACUGAGACACGGCCCAGACUCCUACGGGAGGCAGCAGUGGGGAAUAUUGCACAAUGGGCGGAAGCCUGAUGCAGCGACGCCGCGUGAGGGAUGACGGCCUUCGGGUUGUAAACCUCUUUCAGCACGGAAGAAGCGAGAGUGACGGUACGUGCAGAAGAAGCGCCGGCUAACUACGUGCCAG